CCGCCGCCCAGACCGGACGACAGGCCACCUCGUCGGCGUCCGCCCGAGUCCCCGCCUCGCCGCUAACGCCACAACCACCGCGCACGGCCCCCUGACUCCGUCCAGUAUUGAUCGGGAGAGCCGGAGCGAGCUCUUCGGGGAGCAGCGAUGCGACCCUCCGGGACGGCCGGGGCAGCGCUCCUGGCGCUGCUGGCUGCGCUCUGCCCGGCGAGUCGGGCUCUGGAGGAAAAGAAAGUUAAUGAUCCUUUGCCUGGACUUUCUAAGUGCCCAGAAGAGCAACAGCCAGCAUGCAGGAUGGCAUUCCUGACCAGUUGCACUUGGCCUAGCAUUCCAACCUCACCUGCCUCAGCUUGUUCAACCUGAAAACCUACAAAGUGAAAGCAAGAGCCACGUGAAGACGCCUUAGUUAUAUGCACCCACCCAUACACUUGCUCAGAAAGGAAUCAGUGGGG
This 452-nucleotide small RNA is filed under the name Pan troglodytes (chimpanzee). Its description in RNAcentral is "processed transcript". Lineage: Eukaryota; Metazoa; Chordata; Mammalia; Primates; Hominidae. The record is from RNAcentral.